RNAcentral lists this ribosomal RNA (425 nucleotides) under uncultured bacterium. Its description in RNAcentral is "partial 16S ribosomal RNA". It matches the Rfam family "Bacterial small subunit ribosomal RNA", at positions 354 to 796 of the family's 1533-position model. The record is from RNAcentral.
GUGGGGAAUAUUGGACAAUGGGCGCAAGCCUGAUCCAGCAAUGCCGCGUGGGUGAAGAAGGUCUUCGGAUCGUAAAGCCCUUUCGACAGGGACGAUGAUGACGGUACCUGUAGAAGAAGCCCCGGCUAACUUCGUGCCAGCAGCCGCGGUAAUACGAAGGGGGCUAGCGUUACUCGGAAUUACUGGGCGUAAAGGGCGCGUAGGCGGCUCUGUUAGUCAGGCGUGAAAUUCCUGGGCUUAACCUGGGGACUGCGCUUGAUACUACAGGGCUUGAGGCCGAGAGAGGGUGGUGGAAUUCCCAGUGUAGAGGUGAAAUUCGUAGAUAUUGGGAGGAACACCAGUGGCGAAGGCGGCUCACUGGCUCGAUACUGACGCUGAGGUGCGAAAGCGUGGGGAGCAAACAGGAUUAGAAACCCUAGUAGUCC